GACUUAAUGCGCCUAGCCCGACAAGGUUACUUGUUGUGUGCUGGGUCGUGUUUGUCAUCCAUCUAGAAAAUGUUGUUGCGCUUCAUUGCGUUGACAGCACUAUCUAGAUCUUUUACUUUGAAAAAAUUAGAGUGUUCAAGGCAAGCGUUUGCUUGAAUAUUGCAGCUGGGAAUAAUAACAAAGGCUUCGGGCCAUGUUGUUGGUUUCACGGACUGAAGA
RNAcentral lists this ribosomal RNA (219 nucleotides) under uncultured fungus. Its description in RNAcentral is "partial small subunit ribosomal RNA". Lineage: Eukaryota; Fungi. The record is from RNAcentral.